RNAcentral lists this ribosomal RNA (292 nucleotides) under uncultured bacterium. RNAcentral's name for it is "partial 16S ribosomal RNA". The record is from RNAcentral.
GGACUACUAGGGUAUCUAAUCCUGUUCGCUCCCCACGCUUUCGCGCCUCAGCGUCAGUUAAAGCCCAGGUAGCCGCCUUCGCCACUGGUGUUCCUUCCGAUAUCUACGCAUUUCACCGCUACACCGGAAAUUCCGCUACCCUCUGCUUCACUCUAGACUGAUAGUAUCAAAUGCAGUUCCCAGGUUAAGCCCAGGGCUUUCACAUCCGACUUAUCAGUCCGCCUACACGCCCUUUACGCCCAGUAAUUCCGAUUAACGCUAGCACCCUCUGUCUUACCGCGGCUGCUGGCAC